RNAcentral lists this ribosomal RNA (207 nucleotides) under uncultured bacterium. RNAcentral describes it as "partial 16S ribosomal RNA". It matches the Rfam family "Bacterial small subunit ribosomal RNA", at positions 568 to 774 of the family's 1533-position model. The record is from RNAcentral.
UGCGUAGGCGGGUCUUUAAGUCAGGGGUGAAAUCCUGGAGCUCAACUCCAGAACUGCCUUUGAUACUGAAGAUCUUGAGUUCGGGAGAGGUGAGUGGAACUGCGAAUGUAGAGGUGAAAUUCGUAGAUAUUCGCAAGAACACCAGUGGCGAAGGCGGCUCACUGGCCCGAUACUGACGCUGAGGCACGAAAGCGUGGGGAGCAAACA